Molecule: ribosomal RNA, 200 nt
Filed under: uncultured bacterium
Lineage: Bacteria
Description: partial 16S ribosomal RNA
Rfam family: Bacterial small subunit ribosomal RNA
Source: RNAcentral
AGAGUUUGAUCCUGGCUCAGAAUCAACGCUGGCGGCGCGCUUAACACAUGCAAGUCGCACGAGAAAGGGGCAACCUGAGUAAAGUGGCGCACGGGUGAGUAACACGUGGAUCAUCUACCUCUUGGUGGGGAAUACCUCCGGGAAACUGGAGACAAUACCGCAUAAGCUCGUAAGAGGAAAGCAGCAAUGCGCCGAGAGAG